GAACCGCCGCGAAAGCAUUCGGCAAGGACGCUUUUCAUUAAUCAAGAACGAAAGUCGGGGGGAUCGAAGACGAUCAGAUACCGUCGUAGUCCCGACCGUAAACGAUGCCGACCGAGGGCCCGGAGGAGUUACGUACGACCCUCCGGGCCCUCCCGCGAGAAAUCAGGAGUAUUCGGGUUCCGGGGGGAGUAUGGUCGCAAGGCCGAAACUUAAAGGAAUUGACGGAAGGGCACCACCAGGAGUGGAAUCUGCGGCUUAAUUUGACCCAACGCGGGAAAACUCACCAGGUCAGGACACGGUAAGGAUUGACGGACUGAAGGCUCUUUCUCGAUUCCGUGGAAAGUGGUGCAUGGCCGUUUUUGGUUGGUGGAUCGAUCCGUCUGGUUAAUUCCGUUAACGAACGAGACCUCGGCACUCCGAAUAGCGCGGCGGACGUCGCGGCCUCCGGGCCGUCUUCCGCACGAGCUUCUUAGAGGGACCGUCCCCCGCCGGGGAGGAGGUGCGAGGCAACGACAGGUCUGUGAUGCCCUUAGAUGUUCUGGG
This 543-nucleotide ribosomal RNA is filed under the name uncultured eukaryote. RNAcentral describes it as "SSU rRNA". It matches the Rfam family "Eukaryotic small subunit ribosomal RNA", at positions 937 to 1486 of the family's 1831-position model. The record is from RNAcentral.